CAUAGGAAGUUUGUUCGCAUGAACAAACUUAGAAAGAAUGGCUCUGCUAUCACUUUAUCGAUGGCCUUGCGGUGCAUUAACUAGUUGGCGAGGGUAAACGGGCUCACCAAGGUGAUGAUGCAUAGCCGACCCUGAGAGGGGUAAUCGGCCACAUUGGGACUGAGACACGGCCCAAACUCCUACGGGAGGCAGCAGUAGGGAAUCUUCCGCAAUGGACGCAAGUCUGACGGAGCAACGCCGCGUGAGUGAAGAAGGUUUUCGGAUCGUAAAACUCUGUUGUAAGAGAAGAACAAAUUGUAGAGUAACUGCUACAGUCUUGACGGUAUCUUACCAGAAAGCCACGGCUAACUACGUGCCAGCAGCCGCGGUAAAU
Molecule: ribosomal RNA, 373 nt
Filed under: uncultured Aerococcus sp.
Lineage: Bacteria; Bacillati; Bacillota; Bacilli; Lactobacillales; Aerococcaceae
Description: bacterial SSU rRNA
Rfam family: Bacterial small subunit ribosomal RNA
Source: RNAcentral